GCUUUUCAAACACUGUUUAACCUUUCAGUUAUAAUUAUUAUUAUGUGGAAUUCAUCUUUGUGUAUGUUUACAUACAGUCUAUACUUUUGUGUUCAUUUCAGAAAACUAUACAUUUCAUCUGAAAAGUUGUAAUAGAGACUGUGAAAGGUUCAUUUUUGUUCUUUUAUUUUUCUUUGUAAACAAACAUUGCUGAUUUCUUUGAUAUUUGUGCCUCAGGUGGAAUGCUGUGUUUUUAAAAC
Molecule: long non-coding RNA, 239 nt
Organism: Carassius gibelio (silver crucian carp)
Lineage: Eukaryota; Metazoa; Chordata; Actinopteri; Cypriniformes; Cyprinidae
Exons: 2
Source: RefSeq, a predicted model, not a curated record